AUGACCAUGGGCUUGCUGGCCGGAGAUGGCGGUGGCGGCGGCCUUGGCUACAACACGAGCUGCGGGAAGACCAGCGGCCUGGUGUGGAACCUGACGUCCUCCUACGCGGACCAGAGCAACGAGGCCUCCAUGAUGUCCGCCACCGUCAUCAUGUUCCUCCUCGCCGCACUCUUCUUCAACCUCAACCUCUUCAGCGGCCUCUCCGACACCAGCGCCAUCCUCGACCCCAAGGUCCGCGUCGUGCUCUCCAAGGCGCUCUCCCUCUUCCUCCCCGUCAUGUCCUACCUCUUCUCCGAGGCCAAGAACGCCGGCGGCCUCGCGUGCGGCGGCGCCGCCGCGCCCGAGCUCCCGCUGCGGGCCCGGCUGAUCCUCACGUGGAUGCUCCUCGUCGAGCUCCUCCGCAACAAGGUGGAGGAGAUCCGCAUGCAGCGCGGGGACGACGGCUGGCACAGGGGCACCGUGGAGCGCGCCGGCCGCGUCGUCUGGCUCGGGAGCCUCGUCUUCUUCAACCUGCGCGGCGCCGGGCGCAAGUCCGUGCUGGGCAUCCUCUGGCUCCUCUGCGUCGCCAAGCUGGUGCAGAGGGUCACCUUCACCUUGGUGGGGAAGAACUCUCUCGCCUACGGGAAGAACGCGCGCCUCAUCAUCUCCUACAUGCAUCAUGUGCCUCAUCAUCAGCCGCUGCAGCAGCAGCAUGGAGACGACGCCGACCACGGCGACGAGCUCUUGCAGAGGUGUCGGUACGCGGUGAUGGGAGAAGACAAGCUGGUGAAUAAGCCAACCCCGGCCGGCUACAGCGUCACAAGUGACAUCACCACCGCCCCGACGACGACGACCGUCGGGAAAAUCUGGCGGCUUGCAGAGGAUGACCCCUUCCUUGCCUCCGUCGACCAAGACGGGCGGCUGAGGAGGCUCUGCCUCUCCUUCGCGCUCUUCAAACUCCUUCGCCGGAGUUUCGAGCACCUGCCGCCGAUGAGCGAGGCCGAGACCCGCGACUGCCGGAGCCUCAUCUUCUUCGAAGGGGGCUUGUACUGCAGCAGCAAGAGGAGCAACCGGAGCAAUGGCCAAGGCGAAGACGAGAAGGCAGUAGCAGCAGCAGAGGAAUUAUUCCAGGUGAUGAAGGACGAGACCAUCUUCCUGAGCGAGUACUACCACUCCGUCGUCCCCGUGGCCCUGGCGAGCCCCUUCUUCCUGCUCGCCAACUACCUGCUCCUCCCGGCCAUGGUGCUGCUCCUCUGCCUCGUUAUCGUCGUCCUCUGCGGCAACGGCGACGUGCCCUUCGCCUUCCACAGCCUGAGGAGCGACAACUACAGCGUCUCGUUCGGGGUGCUCAGGAUGGCCAGGUGCCUCCUGACGAGAGUCCUCAGUUCGCCCUCGGUCUUCUUCUCCACCAUCGACCUCUCCAUCACCUUGCUCCUCUUCCUCGUGCUGGUGUACGAGCAGGUGUGGGAGUUUGUGGUCUUCCUCUUCUCCAACUGGUUCCUCGUGUCCAUGCUCCACGGCUACGCCGCCAAGCCCCGCUGGCGCCGGAGCGCCACCUUCAACUGGGCCAUCCGCCGCAUGCUCUGGGUGAGGAGCAAGAUGAGCCACCCGGACAUCACCAUGAGGCAGUUCUCCGCGCUCAGGUCCUGCCGUCUCAGCCGCCAGCUGAGGAUGGUGCCGGCCGUCUCGCUGACGCUGCCGACCAUCCCCGUGCCGAAGGAGGUGAAGCAUUCCAUCGCGGAGUACCUAUUACUAUCAGCAACGUCGCUGCAGGAGGAGGACGACUGCGACCCCACCGCCACUCGUCGUGGUCUUCUCAGCAACGGUCAGCUCGCGGUCGCCGAGUACGCGGAGCUCCGGCGUGCGUGCAAGAGCGAGAGCAUCGCCGAGGUGAUCCUCGCGUGGCACAUCGCCACCUGCCUCUUCGAGGAGAAGUUUCCGUCACCGCACGCCUCGCCCUCGCGUGACAUGGUUGUGGCGACGACGCUGUCCAGGUACUGCGCCUACCUGGUAGCCUUCCACCCGGAGCUACUGCCGGAAAACGAGGAGAGCACAGAGCGCGUCUUCGAGAUCAUGGAGGAAGAUCUGAGGCGUACGGUCGGUUUCUGGCGCUACCACCUCCCGGCGGCGGUGGCGCCGCUGCUGGGUUCCGGGUACGAGCAGAUCAUGCGCCUGGAGGAGAGGCCGAACCUGGCCCAGGCGCUAGAAAUGGCGGAGAUGUCGGCGCUGCAGAGGGGGGCCAUCCUAGAGCGCGCGCUGGAGAAAGAAGCCAAGUGCGCCGCAGGCGUGGAGGGGAUGUGGAAGGUGCUGGCUGAUCUGUGGGUGCAGCUCAUGGUGUACGUGGCGCCGUCGGGGGGCGAGGAGCACGUCAUGGGGCACGCCAAGGUGCUGCCGGAGGGCGGCGAGUUCGUCACCGUGCUCUGGGCGCUGGCCACGCACACCGGCAUGCGCCGCGCCGCGCCGGUGGCUGUCGGCAGCAUGGAACAUGUUUAG
RNAcentral lists this ribosomal RNA (2472 nucleotides) under Triticum aestivum (bread wheat). RNAcentral describes it as "partial small subunit ribosomal RNA". The record is from RNAcentral. Lineage: Eukaryota; Viridiplantae; Streptophyta; Magnoliopsida; Poales; Poaceae.